Long non-coding RNA from Daphnia carinata, 288 nucleotides. RefSeq lists it as uncharacterized. The record is from RefSeq and is a predicted model, not a curated record. NCBI's taxonomy places the organism in Eukaryota, Metazoa, Arthropoda, Branchiopoda, Diplostraca, Daphniidae. The transcript has 3 exons.
AUUCUGUGAAGUGUGUCCCCCACGUUAGUAUAUGGCGUCAUUCUAAACCACAUAAACCAAGUGUUCAACGGUAUUCCAAAUCUAUCCAAAAGGAUCAAUGCUCCCCUAUCGUCGCACAAAGUCCUAAAUGAUCUGAAACGCAUAAAAAAAAAGAUGUAACCACAAAGAGGCACACAGGGAGAGUAUGUGACGUUCACGAAACCAUUUACCAGCCAGCCCAGUUUGAGCUGUAGAACUAAAACAGUAUAUAAAUGGACUGGUACAAACUUUGAAAGACAUUCAUUGGCA